UCGUCGGAUGAUCGAGGAACUAUUAAACUAACGAUCGAGGAGAACGGGUGAUAAAGUCAUUGUAAGUUUCGCAAGACCUCACGUUCGUUUCCUACUAUUUUUGUAUGCAACAUAAAACAAAAGGGGAUUGAUGCUAGCGAGAAUGAUAGAAAGAGAGAGAGAGAGAGAGCGAGAGCGAGAGAGUGAAGAAAUUCGCGUGCGAGAAGCAUGUAAGGGAGCGAGGAAGAUGGAGAACGAGCAGCACGCGUUUUAUUAGAAGAGGAAAAGAAGAGGAGAGGAAGUUUUCGACGCUUUUCAUUGAAAGUUCGCAUCUUCCUGAUCACCUUCCGUUGACUGCACCGCCAACGUCGAUGACGCUCGUUAAGCGUUUACUAUUUAAGUUCGAACAAAUUUUGCUUGGUCCUUCGCACACGUUUCGCCGUUAAAUCGCUUGGUGUUCGCGUUUCUGACUAGCCUAGACGACAUAUUCAUUUUCCCCCCCCUUGUAAUCGUGAUCGACUGACUUUGCGGGAAGCCGGGGAACGUUCGAGCAGCUUAUCGUUCCCCGCGCUUCCCGUGGUAUUUGGACUGUUCUCGCAGAGCGAGCAAACGAGAAUCGGGGAUCAGUGACUGUCGGUCGUCGUUGUCUCAAAUUCCUUUGUUUCUGUUCGAAAAACUGUGCGGGACGCAGAAAACAGAUCGCGAUCCGUCACUGAUCUCUCCGGGGACUGUCGAUGGGUGAAAUUUGAUCCUUUUUAGAAAUAAAAUCGACAUGCCAAGCAUCACAGAUGAUCGAACAACUUGCAUAGAUAUUACUCUCUCACUUAGAACAUUUUCGAUUUCAUUCGUUUCUUUUUUUUUCCUUUUUGUUGUCGUUGUCGUUGUUGUUAGUUCUAAUCGAAACAUCCUCUUGUUUUUGUGAUUGGAGUUCCGGUGUUCGAUGAACGAGCAAUGCGCGUAAGUGGUUCAAUGUCUUUUGUUCGUUAUUCGAAGAGCUGUCUUUCACGUGAAAAUUUUGCCCAUCUCUGCAUCAGACGUGUUUUAGCUGGCGUGAAACUCGACGUUUCGUUGUUGAAGAGUGAAGUAUCCUGCCACGAUUUCGCCCUCAGUGAACAUGUUUAAGGCUGGAUGUCCUUGAACCGAUGUGACGCCAGAUGCGAGUCCCGAGCAGCUUACAGUUUCAUUUUUCUCGCGGAUCAUGCCCGAUCGUUUGCUCUUCGUUUCUGCAUGGUCUCAGCCAUCUUCCUAACAACUCUGAAACUGCUGAUGCUUAACAAUUCUCACUAGCAAAGGUCAUUCCCUGCGUUCUCUGCGAUAAGUGUAGACAGGUAACUGCCAUGUAGCUCCACUUUUAGGAUGCUCGAGAGAUCAUUCAUCUAUCAACCUCGUUCCCAGUCUUGAUCACAGGUCAUAAUUUUUCACCUCCACCUUUUGUUUGUUCCUUUUCACCUCCACGUCACAUACCUCUGCUCCCUGACCGAUGUUCAACUCUGCGGCUACCUCCUCGUCGGUCUUGAGAACUCCGUCCACAGACUUGGUUUACUCGGAACGAAUGUAUUUUUCAUCGAUAGUUAGUUUUCCUUCCUCCAUUUAACCGUGCAGCCACUACUCGACGAAAGGGACAAUCUGAAGCACUUGCCACUCAGUUAUCAUAAAGUUAGAAGUCUUAUCACCAGGUAACAUUGUUCUCGGACACACUUUCUCGGUAGCUUAGAUCCGUUCGGUUUGGACUGAGCGUAUGCGGUCUGAGCUCGCGACUCGUACUCUUAAUUAUCAAGACACAAAGGGAAAGGAACGGAACAACAAACUUAUACUUGUUUGGGGUAUAAGCAACAGGGAGAAUGUUCACAGACAUGUUCACUGAUCGUUUGCGGGCCGAAUGUUGAGAUUGAUGUUAACUCUUUGAGGCCCAGGUUUGGCAGAUACUCGAACCAGUUGGAUGUACGUUGAACAAGGAAUUGUAUAAUUUUUGUGCGUUGAUUAGCGAGAGGAAGCUUUCUGCGACAUUGUACACUGAUGAUCCAUCAGGAAUGGAGCUUCAUUUCCCAGAGGAGACGAUUCAUUCGAAGGUAUAUUCUGAGUAAUGUCAUGGGUAACGAACUGUAAUUAUAGUCCUCUUCCCAAUGUUCUUAAUUGGUUCAAGGGAAACGAAUGGUCUCUGAAAAGAGGUUGUUUUCACAUCUGAAUUAUCCUCUCAUAUCAUUUCAAUUCUUUCAGUUGAAUUUUAAUGGCGGAGUUCCGUUCCCAGUGGAUCAUGUUGUAGGAUAUAAAAAAAAAAUGGUACAAAAGUAGUUGCGGGGAUGGUGAAGCAGUAUGAUCCUCAAAGAGUUACACGGAGGAGAUAAGUUGGAUGGAAUGAAUGGGUGGGAGAGCGUGUGUGCGUGGGAAGGGAAGAAAAACACCAUGGAGAACCACGACGAAUCGAAGAGGAUUCGUAUGCAAACGCAUCGCGAAGGUGACCGAGAAGGUGAAAGCGAGAUUAGGAAUCGUAUGAUGGAAACAAAGAGCUAUACUACCAACCCAAAGAUGCACAACAUCAUAGAGAGCCGGACAAUUUGAUAGAACUCAUGUCAGUCUAAUUAUAUUUCUUGUUAUAUUAUAUACAUAUAUAUAUAUAUAUAUAAUAUUUUCCAAAAACGAAUUAUAUAUAAUUCAAUAAAAAAAAGACACUCUCGUUUGAUACUCCGCGAGACCAUUAAAUUAUUUCCGCGGUCCAUUAUAUUUUUUAUACAUUAUUUAUAUAUAUAUAUUAUUUAUAAUUUUAUCAUUUCACAUUUUUGCCCCUGAAGUAUUCUUUCCCUUCCAACGUCUCUCAUUUUGUACAAUCGAAUCUCCCGCUCAUUUCAACCGUCAAGGUUCAGUGCCGUACACCCAAGAAUACUCGCAAGUGACUUACAAUUUAUUCGAACGUAUUCAAUCUUCAUAAAUAUUCAAAAAGAUUUACAAAUAUUUAGAUUGAUGACGUUUCUUUUAACACUAAAAUACAAACACUGAUAAUCGAAAUGUUUAGUGAAAGAAAAAAAAAGGUGUAAUUUGAAAUCGUGGAAAAUGUGGUUUCUAUUAGGAGCCAGGUAUUGACGACGCGUCGUACAGCCCUGAGCGACAGCAGCACCUCUAGCGGUCAGCCAUUCGAAAUAUUCAUUUGCAACGGUUUCUGUUUCAACCGUGGAGGGACGCUCGGAUUGUUCCUCAGAAAAUCAAGGGGAAAAUGGGUUUAAACGAUGCCUCGACCGUUUUGAAUGGUGUUACAUGAACAUGCGAUCGAAGAAUUAUGAGAAGACCUGAUGCAGUAGUCUGUUAUACUAUGUGCAGACCAGGUAUGGCCAACUUCUGUGUAUGACUUUUUCUCUUAAAAAUGAUGCACUUUGAAAUCUCGACGUUCAACGCAUUGAAACUUGUGUGUUGUGUACCGAUAAGAGGAAAUGAAGGUGUUAACAUGACAUUUUAUUGACUGUGAACCAAAAAUCGCUUUGCGGCCUGUUAGCUAUUCGUAUGUAGACUAGAUUAUUUACAAACUGGACUACCUUUUACUUCUUAU
Nomia melanderi (Alkali bee) is the source of this 3517-nucleotide non-coding RNA. The record is from RefSeq and is a predicted model, not a curated record. Lineage: Eukaryota; Metazoa; Arthropoda; Insecta; Hymenoptera; Halictidae.